Molecule: RNA transcript, 1004 nt
Organism: Otolemur garnettii (small-eared galago)
Lineage: Eukaryota; Metazoa; Chordata; Mammalia; Primates; Galagidae
Gene name: heat shock protein HSP 90-alpha pseudogene
Exons: 1
Source: RefSeq, a predicted model, not a curated record
UUUUGAAAGUUAUCAGAAAGAAUUUGGUCAAAAAGUGCUUAGAGCUCUUUACUGAACUGGCAGAAGAUAAGGAGAACUACAAAAGUCUUAUGAGCAAUUCUCUAAAAAUAUAAAGCUUGGAAUACAUGAAGAUUCUCAAAAUCGGAAGAAGCUUUCAGAGCUAUUGCGAUACUACACUUCUGCUUCAGGUGAUGAGAUGGUUUCUCUCAAGGACUACUGCACCAGAAUGAAGGAAAACCAGAAACCUAUCUACUACAUCACAGGUGAGACCAAGGACCAGGUAGCUAACUCAGCCUUUGUGGAACAUCUGUGGAAGCAUGGCUUAGAAGUGAUAUAUAUGAUCGAGCCGAUUGAUGAGUAUUGUGUCCAACAGCUGAAAGAAUUUGAGGGGAAAACUUUAGUGUCAGUCACCAAAGAGGGCUUGGAACUUCCAGAAGAUGAAGAGAAGAAAAAGAAACAGGAAGAGAAGAAAACAAAGUUUGAAAACCUCUGCAAAAUCAUGAAAGAUAUCUUGGAGAAAAAAGUUGAAAAGGUCGUUGUGUCAAACCGAUUGGUGACAUCCCCAUGCUGUAUUGUCACAAGUACGUAUGGUUGGACAGCAAACAUGGAAAGAAUCAUGAAAGCUCAAGCCCUGAGAGACAACUCAACAAUGGGUUACAAGGCAGCAAAGAAACACUUGGAGAUAAAUCCUGACCAUUCCAUCAUCGAGACCUUCAGGCAAAAGGCAGAGGCUGACAAGAACGACAAGUCAGUGAAGGAUCUGGUCAUCUUGCUCUAUGAAACUGCACUCCUGUCUUCCGGCUUCAGUCUGGAAGAUCCCCCAGACACAUGCUAACAGGAUCUACAGGAUGAUCAAACUUGGUCUGGGUAUUGAUGAAGAUGAUCCUACUGCUGUCGAUAUCAAUGCUGCUGUAACUGAAGAGAUGCCACCUCUUGAAGGAGAUGAUGACACAUCACGCAUGGAAGAAGUAGAUUAAGCUUUCCCUGACAAAUUACUUGUAUAC